RNAcentral lists this ribosomal RNA (497 nucleotides) under uncultured bacterium. Its description in RNAcentral is "partial 16S ribosomal RNA". It matches the Rfam family "Bacterial small subunit ribosomal RNA", at positions 28 to 507 of the family's 1533-position model. The record is from RNAcentral.
GAUGGACGCUGGCGGCGUGCCUAAUACAUGCAAGUCGAGCGAACGGACGAGAAGCUUGCUUCUCUGAUGUUAGCGGCGGACGGGUGAGUAACACGUGGAUAACCUACCUAUAAGACUGGGAUAACUUCGGGAAACCGGAGCUAAUACCGGAUAAUAUUUUGAACCGCAUGGUUCAAAAGUGAAAGACGGUCUUGCUGUCACUUAUAGAUGGAUCCGCGCUGCAUUAGCUAGUUGGUAAGGUAACGGCUUACCAAGGCAACGAUGCAUAGCCGACCUGAGAGGGUGAUCGGCCACACUGGAACUGAGACACGGUCCAGACUCCUACGGGAGGCAGCAGUAGGGAAUCUUCCGCAAUGGGCGAAAGCCUGACGGAGCAACGCCGCGUGAGUGAUGAAGGUCUUCGGAUCGUAAAACUCUGUUAUUAGGGAAGAACAUACGUGUAAGUAACUGUGCACAUCUUGACGGUACCUAAUCAGAAAGCCACGGCUAACUACGUG